Molecule: ribosomal RNA, 497 nt
Filed under: uncultured bacterium
Lineage: Bacteria
Description: partial 16S ribosomal RNA
Rfam family: Bacterial small subunit ribosomal RNA
Source: RNAcentral
GAUGAACGCUGGCGGCGUGCCUAAUACAUGCAAGUCGAGCGAACGGACGAGAAGCUUGCUUCUCUGAUGUUAGCGGCGGACGGGUGAGUAACACGUGGAUAACCUACCUAUAAGACUGGGAUAACUUCGGGAAACCGGAGCUAAUACUGGAUAAUAUUUUGAACCGCAUGGUUCAAAAGUGAAAGACGGUCUUGCUGUCACUUAUAGAUGGAUCCGCGCUGCAUUAGCUAGUUGGUAAGGUAACGGCUUAUCAAGGCAACGAUGCAUAGCCGACCUGAGAGGGUGAUCGCCCACACUGGAACUGAGACACGGUCCAGACUCCUACGGGAGGCAGCAGUAGGGAAUCGUCCGCAAUGGGCGAAAGCCUGACGGAGCAACGCCGCGUGAGUGAUGAAGGUCUUCGGAUCGUAAAACUCUGUUAUUAGGGAAGAACAGAUGUGUAAGUAACUGUGCACAUCUUGACGGUACCUAAUCAGAAAGCCACGGCUAACUACGUG